RNAcentral lists this ribosomal RNA (708 nucleotides) under uncultured bacterium. Its description in RNAcentral is "bacterial SSU rRNA". It matches the Rfam family "Bacterial small subunit ribosomal RNA", at positions 99 to 793 of the family's 1533-position model. The record is from RNAcentral.
CGGACGGGUGAGUAACACGUGGGUAACCUGCCCUUAAGUGGGGGAUAACAUUUGGAAACAGAUGCUAAUACCGCAUAGAUCCAAGAACCGCAUGGUUCUUGGCUGAAAGAUGGCGUAAGCUAUCGCUUUUGGAUGGACCCGCGGCGUAUUAGCUAGUUGGUGAGGUAAUGGCUCACCAAGGCGAUGAUACGUAGCCGAACUGAGAGGUUGAUCGGCCACAUUGGGACUGAGACACGGCCCAAACUCCUACGGGAGGCAGCAGUAGGGAAUCUUCCACAAUGGACGCAAGUCUGAUGGAGCAACGCCGCGUGAGUGAAGAAGGCUUUCGGGUCGUAAAACUCUGUUGUUGGAGAAGAAUGGUCGGCAGAGUAACUGUUGUCGGCGUGACGGUAUCCAACCAGAAAGCCACGGCUAACUACGUGCCAGCAGCCGCGGUAAUACGUAGGUGGCAAGCGUUAUUCGGAUUUAUUGGGCGUAAAGCGAGCGCAGGCGGUUUUUUAAGUCUGAUGUGAAAGCCCUCGGCUUAACCGAGGAAGCGCAUCGGAAACUGGGAAACUUGAGUGCAGAAGAGGACAGUGGAACUCCAUGUGUAGCGGUGAAAUGCGUAGAUAUAUGGAAGAACACCAGUGGCGAAGGCGGCUGUCUGGUCUGUAACUGACGCUGAGGCUCGAAAGCAUGGGUAGCGAACAGGAUUAGAUACCCUGGUAG